Molecule: long non-coding RNA, 491 nt
Organism: Oncorhynchus tshawytscha (Chinook salmon)
Lineage: Eukaryota; Metazoa; Chordata; Actinopteri; Salmoniformes; Salmonidae
Source: Ensembl
GGUGUGUGGUCUGAUUCAGCAGUAGGCUAGGUGGUGUGUGGUCUGAUUCAGCAGUAGGCUAGGUGGUGUGUGGUCUGAUUCAGCAGUAAGCUAGUUGGUGUGUGGUCUGAUUCAGCGGUAGACUAGGUGUUGUGUGGUCUGAUUCAGCGGUAGACUAGGUGUUGUGUGGUCUGAUUCAGCAGUAGCCUAGGUGUUGUGUGGUCUGAUUCAGCAGUAGGCUUGGUGGUGUGUGGUCUGAUUAAGCAGUAGGCUAGGUGGUGUGUGGUCUGAUUCAGCAGUAGGCUUGGUGGUGUGUGGUCUGAUUCAGCAGUAGGCUUGGUGUUGUGUGGUCUGAUUCAGCGGUAGGCUAGGUGUUGUGUUGUCUGAUUCAGCAGUAGGCUAGGUGGUGUGUGGUCUGAUUCAGCAGUAGGCUAGGUGGUGUGUGGUCUGAUUCAGCAGUAGGCUAGGUGUUGUGUGGUCUGAUUCAGCAGUAGACUAGGUGUUGUGUGGUC